Molecule: transfer RNA, 87 nt
Filed under: Morchella conica CCBAS932
Lineage: Eukaryota; Fungi; Ascomycota; Pezizomycetes; Pezizales; Morchellaceae
Also listed under: 1 other name
Rfam family: tRNA
About the family: Transfer RNA (tRNA) molecules are approximately 80 nucleotides in length. Their secondary structure includes four short double-helical elements and three loops (D, anti-codon, and T loops).
Source: Rfam by way of RNAcentral
GUCGGUGUAGUAUAGUGGUUAGUACUUCUCGUUGUGGUUUCUAUAUCCUGCUCCGAGAGGACCCAUGUUCGAUUCAUGGCACCGACA